This 395-nucleotide ribosomal RNA is filed under the name uncultured bacterium. Its description in RNAcentral is "partial 16S ribosomal RNA". The record is from RNAcentral.
UCCCCAGGUGGAUUCUUAUCGCUUUCGCUUAGACGCCUACUGUGUAUCGCCACAUCGAGUAAUCAUGUUUACAGCGUGGACUACCAGGGUAUCUAAUCCUGUUUGAUACCCACGCUUUCGUGCCUCAGCGUCAGUUACAGUUUUGUGAGCUGCCUUCGCAAUCGGUGUUCUGUGUCAUAUCUAAGCAUUUCACCGCUACAUGACACAUUCCGCCCACCUCAACUGUACUCAAGAAUUGACAGUAUCAAUGGCAGUUCUGCUGUUAAGCAACAGGCUUUCACCACUGACUUAUCAAUCCGCCUACGCACCCUUUAAACCCAAUGAAUCCGGAUAACGCUUGGAUCCUCCGUAUUACCGCGGCUGCUGGCACGGAGUUAGCCGAUCCUUAUUCUUAC